GUCCAGGGAUGGGAAUCGAACCCACAAUGUUCCGCUUACCUGGCAGAUGUCAUGUCCACUAGGCUACCCUGGA
This 73-nucleotide transfer RNA is filed under the name Cordylochernes scorpioides. Its description in RNAcentral is "tRNA-Thr". Lineage: Eukaryota; Metazoa; Arthropoda; Arachnida; Pseudoscorpiones; Chernetidae. The record is from RNAcentral.